CCUUGACAUACUAAGAACUUUCCAGAGAUUGGAUUGGUGCCUUCGGGAACUUAGAUACAGGUGCUGCAUGGCUGUCGUCAGCUCGUGUCGUGAGAUGUUGGGUUAAGUCCCGNAACGAGCGCAACCCUUUUCCUUAUUUGCCAGCGGGUCAUGCCGGGAACUUUAAGGAUACUGCCAGUGACAAACUGGAGGAAGGCGGGGACGACGUCAAGUCAUCAUGGCCCUUACGGCCAGGGCUACACACGUGCUACAAUGGUCGGUACAAAGGGUUGCUACCUCGCGAGAGGAUGCUAAUCUCAAAAAGCCGAUCGUAGUCCGGAUCGCAGUCUGCAACUCGACUGCGUGAAGUCGGAAUCGCUAGUAAUCGCGGAUCAGAAUGCCGCGGUGAAUACGUUCCCGGGCCUUGUACACACCGCCCGUCACACCAUGGGAGUUUGUUGCACCAGAAGUAGGUAGUCUAACCGCAAGGAGGACGCUUACCACGGUGUGGCCGAUGACUGGGGUGAAGUCGUAACAAGGUAGGCGUAGAUGA
This 532-nucleotide ribosomal RNA is filed under the name uncultured bacterium. Its description in RNAcentral is "bacterial SSU rRNA". It matches the Rfam family "Bacterial small subunit ribosomal RNA", at positions 979 to 1509 of the family's 1533-position model. The record is from RNAcentral.